CCUACGGGUGGCAGCAGUGGGGAAUAUUGGGCAAUGGGCGCAAGCCUGACCCAGCAACGCCGCGUGAAGGUAGAAGGCUUUCGGGUGGUAAACUUCUUUUCUCAGGGACGAAUCAAGUUACGGUACCUGAGGACUAAGCUACGGCUAGCUACGGGCCAGCAGCCGGGGGAAUCCGUAGGUGGCAAGCGUUAUCCGAUUUUACGGGUGGUAAGGGUGGCGGAGACGGCGAUGCAAGCCAGGAGUGCAAGCCCGGGGCCCAACCCCGGGACUGCUCUUGGGACUGCGUGGCUGGAGUGCAGGAGCGGCAGGAGGAAUUCCUGGUGUAGCGGUGAAAUGCGUAGAUAGCAGGAGGAACACCGGUGGCGAAGGCGGCCUGCUGGACUGCAACUGACGUUGAGGCCCGAAAGCGUGGGGAGCAAACAGGAUUAGAUACCCCAGUAGUC
This 443-nucleotide ribosomal RNA is filed under the name uncultured bacterium. Its description in RNAcentral is "partial 16S ribosomal RNA". It matches the Rfam family "Bacterial small subunit ribosomal RNA", at positions 338 to 795 of the family's 1533-position model. The record is from RNAcentral.